RNAcentral lists this ribosomal RNA (449 nucleotides) under uncultured bacterium. RNAcentral's name for it is "partial 16S ribosomal RNA". It matches the Rfam family "Bacterial small subunit ribosomal RNA", at positions 29 to 523 of the family's 1533-position model. The record is from RNAcentral.
AACGAACGCUGGCGGCAUGCCUAACACAUGCAAGUCGAACGAGAUCUUCGGGUCUAGUGGCGCACGGGUGCGUAACGCGUGGGAAUCUGCCCUUUGGUUCGGAAUAACAGUUGGAAACGACUGCUAAUAUCGGAUGAUGACUAAAGUCCAGAGAUUUAUCGCCAGAGGAUGAGCCCGCGUAGGAUUAGCUAGUUGGUGUGGUAAAGGCGCACCAAGGCGACGAUCCUUAGCUGGUCUGAGAGGAUGAUCAGCCACACUGGGACUGAGACACGGCCCAGACUCCUACGGGAGGCAGCAGUGGGGAAUAUUGGACAAUGGGCGAAAGCCUGAUCCAGCAAUGCCGCGUGAGUGAUGAAGGCCUUAGGGUUGUAAAGCUCUUUUACCCGGGAUGAUAAUGACAGUACCGGGAGAAUAAGCUCCGGCUAACUCCGUGCCAGCCGCCGCCGUAA